AAAAAUUAACCGGGCGCGGUGGUGCACGCCUGUAGUCCCAGCUACUCAGGAGGCUGAGACAGGAGAAUAGCUUGAACCAGGGAGGCAGAGAUAGCAGUGUGUCGAGAUCAAGCCACUGUACUCCAGCCUGGGCGACAAAGUAAGAGUCUCAAAAAAAAAAAAA
Sapajus apella (tufted capuchin) is the source of this 163-nucleotide long non-coding RNA. RefSeq lists it as uncharacterized. Lineage: Eukaryota; Metazoa; Chordata; Mammalia; Primates; Cebidae. The record is from RefSeq and is a predicted model, not a curated record. The transcript is spliced from 2 exons.